Molecule: long non-coding RNA, 582 nt
Organism: Serinus canaria (Common canary)
Lineage: Eukaryota; Metazoa; Chordata; Aves; Passeriformes; Fringillidae
Exons: 4
Source: RefSeq, a predicted model, not a curated record
GCUGACAGCGGCGAGGGCGAUCUCGGGUGCUGCGAGCGAACGGGCCGGCAGCGAGCCGUCAGCAAAGGGUGGAUUUGCGGGAGGAGAGGAAGAAAGUUGUGGGAAGCCACUCCAGUUUUGCAUGUGCAGCCUCAGAACCAAGCCUGUGUGUCUCCUGUCUGUCUCAAUUAUAGGGUUACUGCAGGCAGCAAAGACUCACAGAAAAAACAGGUUGGAAAAAAGAGCUCAGAGACCUCCUAGUUCAUCUUGCUGCCAAGACAAGACUGAAAAGUAAAUGAAGGCUCUCUCUCAGAAGGAAACAUUUGAGCUAAACAGAAUUUCAGAAGAGCACAAAAGGGGACCUGAAACCACCACACACUGGUAAAAAUGGAAGACAGAAAUAAUUACUCAGUAAUCAGUAAAAGACAGCAAUCCUAAAACCAGUGAACACCCAUGUAUCUUGUAAUUCUUUCAACAAAUAUAACUCAUAUUGAAUAAAAAGAGAUCAGUGUAUUUUACAGAUGGAUUAACUCCAGUAUGAUUGAGAGAUGAUUUCUAUGUCCAUGUUUGCUAUUUAAUUAAUUUCUUCACUCAUACCAAAUU